GACGAACGCUGGCGGCGUGCUUAACACAUGCAAGUGGAGCGACGAACCAGGGCUUGCCCUGGGGCAGAGCCGCGAACGGGUGAGUAACACGUGGGUAACGUGCCCCGAUGACUGGGACAACCCGGGGAAACCCGGGCUAAUACCGGAUGUGCCCCCUCACAUCAGUGAGGUGUGUAAAGGAAGCUUCGGCCUCCGCAUCGGGAUCGGCCCGCGGCCCGUUAGCUUGUUGGUGAGGUAACGGCUCACCAAGGCUGCGAUGGGUAGCUGGUCUGAGAGGACGAUCAGCCACACUGGGACUGAGACACGGCCCAGACUCCUACGGGAGGCAGCAGUGGGGAAUCUUGCGCAAUGCGCGAAAGCGUGACGCAGCAACGCCGCGUGGGGGAAGACGGCCUUCGGGUUGUAAACCCCUUUCAGUUGGGACGAAGGUCGGGCGGUUAACAGCCGUUCCGGCUGACGGUACCUUCACAAGAAGCCCCGGCUAACUACGUG
RNAcentral lists this ribosomal RNA (492 nucleotides) under uncultured bacterium. RNAcentral's name for it is "partial 16S ribosomal RNA". It matches the Rfam family "Bacterial small subunit ribosomal RNA", at positions 28 to 507 of the family's 1533-position model. The record is from RNAcentral.